This 169-nucleotide non-coding RNA is filed under the name uncultured Enterovibrio sp. Lineage: Bacteria; Pseudomonadati; Pseudomonadota; Gammaproteobacteria; Vibrionales; Vibrionaceae. The record is from RNAcentral.
UUCCGCGAGGAAGGGUCUGAAGGAAGCCGUUAGCCCCCUUGAUUUAACAAAAUGCGAGUUGAUGAACAAAUUCAUCGAUGAGGCGUAGGCUCGAUCCGGGUUGGCAUAAGACGACGAAGCCAAGUGAUUUAAGAUCCAGUAAAUGAUGUUGUUGUGCAGUGAAAGUUCA